GGAUGUGAGGGCGACCUGGCUGCAACAUCUGUCACUCCAUUGAUCGCCAGGGUUCAUUCAGCUGAUCUGGCUGGCUAGGCGGGUGUCCCCUUCCUCCCUCACCGCUCCAUAUGCGUCCCUCCCAAAGCUGCACCCUCCGUCGAAGAGGACGACCUUCCCCGCUAGAGGAGGACCGGUCUUCGGGUUUGGUCAAGGGUAUACAGUAGCUGUGCUCCCCUACUAGAACCUCCAAACAAGCUCUAAAGAAAAGCAUAGGAUCCUUGGUGCCCUCCAGUGGUCUUGCCUUCCUUCCCAGAUUCUUCCCUUUUCUUAUGGCAUUUAGCAGUGUGAGACUUAGA
This 338-nucleotide small nuclear RNA is filed under the name Microcebus murinus (gray mouse lemur). Its description in RNAcentral is "7SK RNA (ENSMICG00000031073.2)". It matches the Rfam family "7SK RNA". From Rfam's summary of the family: 7SK was discovered as an abundant small nuclear RNA in the mid-70s but a possible function has only recently been suggested. Two independent studies have found that 7SK RNA binds the CDK9/cyclin T complex (known as elongation factor P-TEFb). Lineage: Eukaryota; Metazoa; Chordata; Mammalia; Primates; Cheirogaleidae. The record is from Rfam by way of RNAcentral.